CCCCUCUCAGGGUCACAACUGGACAAUUUUCAGUACUCUACCAGUUUCGGCUAUGGGAGGGAGAGUCAAGCAGAGGCAUACCCAUUCCAUUCUUAGCUGGGGCAGUGGCUAGUGAGUGGAAGGCAAUUUGCUACAAGU
Small nucleolar RNA from Tachyglossus aculeatus (Australian echidna), 138 nucleotides. NCBI's taxonomy places the organism in Eukaryota, Metazoa, Chordata, Mammalia, Monotremata, Tachyglossidae. The record is from RefSeq and is a predicted model, not a curated record.